GGGGCGAUGGCGGAAUAGGCAGACGCCGGGGACUUAAAAUCCUCUGGGGCGCAAGCCCCGUGUGGGUUCGACUCCCACUCGCCCCA
This 86-nucleotide transfer RNA is filed under the name Chloroflexota bacterium. RNAcentral describes it as "Chloroflexi bacterium (hydrothermal vent metagenome) tRNA-Leu". It matches the Rfam family "tRNA". From Rfam's summary of the family: Transfer RNA (tRNA) molecules are approximately 80 nucleotides in length. Lineage: Bacteria; Bacillati; Chloroflexota. The record is from RNAcentral.